RNAcentral lists this ribosomal RNA (451 nucleotides) under uncultured bacterium. Its description in RNAcentral is "partial 16S ribosomal RNA". It matches the Rfam family "Bacterial small subunit ribosomal RNA", at positions 354 to 796 of the family's 1533-position model. The record is from RNAcentral.
GUGGGGAAUAUUGGACAAUGGGGGGAACCCUGAUCCAGCCAUGCCGCGUGUGUGAAGAAGGCCUUUUGGUUGUAAAGCACUUUAAGCGAGGAGGAGGCUACCGAGAUUAAUACUCUUGGAUAGUGGACGUUACUCGCAGAAUAAGCACCGGCUAACUCUGUGCCAGCGGCCGCGGUAAUACAGAGGGUGCAAGCGUUAAUCGGAUUUACUGGGCGUAAAGCGCGCGUAGGUGGCCAAUUAAGUCAAAUGUGAAAUCCCCGAGCUUAACUUGGGAAUUGCAUUCGAUACUGGUUGGCUAGAGUAUGGGAGAGGAUGGUAGAAUUCCAGGUGUAGCGGUGAAAUGCGUAGAGAUCUGGAGGAAUACCGAUGGCGAAGGCAGCCAUCUGGCCUAAUACUGACACUGAGGUGCGAAAGCAUGGGGAGCAAACAGGAUUAGAUACCCUAGUAGUCC